Molecule: ribosomal RNA, 445 nt
Filed under: uncultured eukaryote
Lineage: Eukaryota
Description: bacterial SSU rRNA
Rfam family: Eukaryotic small subunit ribosomal RNA
Source: RNAcentral
CUCACCAGGUCAGGACACGGUAAGGAUUGACGGACUGAAGGCUCUUUCUCGAUUCCGUGGAAAGUGGUGCAUGGCCGUUUUGGUUGGUGGAUCGAUCCGUCUGGUUAAUUCCGUUAACGAACGAGACCUCGGCACUCCGAAUAGCGCGGCGGACGUCGCGGCCUCCGGGCCGUCUUCCGCACGAGCUUCUUAGAGGGACCGUCCCCCGCCGGGGAAGGAGGUGCGAGGCAACGACAGGUCUGUGAUGCCCUUAGAUGUUCUGGGCCGCACGCGCAUUACACUGACGCGUCCAACGGGUGACUCCCGACCCGAAGGGGCCGGGGAAUCCGCAAGGCGCGUCGUGAUGGGGAUUGAACGUUGCAAUUGUUGUUCACGAACGAGGAAUUCCUAGUAGGCGCGGGUCAUCAACCCGCGCCGAUUACGUCCCCUGCCCUUUGUACACACC